GUAGCAGGAUGCUUGUGUCGCUUGCCGAUGGAGGUUGAUCUCCGGAGCGGCAAGAGGAAAGUCCGGGCAACGCAGAGCACCAUACUUUCUAACAGUAAGCUGUCGGUGACGGCAGAGUAACGUGACAGAAAACAACAGCCCGUCUCCCCUUCCGGGAGGUCAGGCAAUGGUGAAAAGGUGGGGUAAGAGCCCACCGGGUAUCGUGGCGACACGGUAUGCCGCACGUCUUAUGGGUUGCAAGGCCACAUAUACCGGCGCGUUAGCAUGUCAGACCGUCUUUACGGUGACACUAACAAUGGGUUGCUCGCUCAUUGCCGGGGGGUAGGCUGCUGGAGUGCCGAAGCAAAGCGAGGCACCGAUUAGAUAAAUGACACGGGCACGGCGGCAACCUUCAGGGCUUCGUCCCUGACAGAAGUCCCGCAGUGACAUAACCCGGCUUAUAGUCCUGCUACCUUU
Molecule: RNase P RNA, 456 nt
Filed under: Bacteroides sp.
Lineage: Bacteria; Pseudomonadati; Bacteroidota; Bacteroidia; Bacteroidales; Bacteroidaceae
Description: RNase P RNA component class A
Rfam family: Bacterial RNase P class A
About the family: Ribonuclease P (RNase P) is a ubiquitous endoribonuclease, found in archaea, bacteria and eukarya as well as chloroplasts and mitochondria. Its best characterised activity is the generation of mature 5'-ends of tRNAs by cleaving the 5'-leader elements of precursor-tRNAs.
Source: RNAcentral